This 327-nucleotide long non-coding RNA is filed under the name Gossypium barbadense (sea-island cotton). Its description in RNAcentral is "long non-coding RNA (GBAR_LNC001295)". Lineage: Eukaryota; Viridiplantae; Streptophyta; Magnoliopsida; Malvales; Malvaceae. The record is from RNAcentral.
GUGCAUCUCCAUGAUGGCAUAAUUGACCAAUGGGACCUUCACAUGCCAAAUGUUCGGAUUUUGAAAGUAUUCAUUCGGAAUUACUGCCCGAAUUGCUGGAUUCUCGUAUGGUGUCCAUUAAAACUAUAUGAACAUGAUAAAAAUAUUAGUUAUAUGCAUAAUAAUAAAUACAAAAUACUAAAUACUAAAUACUAAAUACGAAUCGACUAUUUUAUUAUGUAUAUCUAUUUUAUUUAAUACUAACUUGUGCUUCCGACCAUUGGUCUAAUAGAAGCCGUAUAUCUUCAAGAGAGGUAGGUAAUCCAACAUAACUUGCUGAACGGUUCC